GAUGAACGCUAGCGGAAGGCUUAAUACAUGCAAGUCGAGCGGUAGUCCCCUUCGGGGAAUGAGAGCGGCGCACGGGUGAGUAACGCGUACAUGACCUGCCUGUCAGAAGGGGAUAGCCCUGGGAAACUGGGAUUAAUACCCUAUGGUAUUGAUAUUAUGAAUGAUAUCAAUUAAAGUUGAGGCGCUGACAGAUGGAUGUGCGUCUGAUUAGCUAGUUGGUAGGGUAACGGCCUACCAAGGCGACGAUCAGUAGGGGGCGUGAGAGCGUGGUCCCCCACACGGGUACUGGGACACGGACCCGACUCCUACGGGAGGCAGCAGUAAGGAAUAUCGGUCAAUGCCCGCAAGGGUGAACCAGCCAUUCCGCGUGGAGGAUGAAGGCCCUAUGGGUUGUAAACUUCUUUUAGAUGGGAGGAAAAUGCUAGAUGUAUCUGGUACUGACGGUACGAUCAGAAUAAGCACCAGC
Molecule: ribosomal RNA, 466 nt
Filed under: uncultured Haliscomenobacter sp.
Lineage: Bacteria; Pseudomonadati; Bacteroidota; Saprospiria; Saprospirales; Haliscomenobacteraceae
Description: bacterial SSU rRNA
Rfam family: Bacterial small subunit ribosomal RNA
Source: RNAcentral